Molecule: ribosomal RNA, 734 nt
Filed under: uncultured archaeon
Lineage: Archaea
Description: bacterial SSU rRNA
Rfam family: Archaeal small subunit ribosomal RNA
Source: RNAcentral
AAACUGCCCAAGGGUCCGGGAUAACCCCGGGAAACUGGGGAUAAUACCGGAUGGAUCACUUAUGCUGGAAUGCUUGGUGGUCGAAAGGUGACGCCCUUGGAUGGGUCUGCGGCGGAUUAGGUUGACGCCGGUGUAACGUACCGGCGUGCCUGUAAUCCGUACGGGUUGUGGGAGCAAGAGCCCGGAGAUGGAUUCUGAGACACGAAUCCAGGCCCUACGGGGCGCAGCAGGCGCGAAAACUCUACAAUGCAGGCAACUGCGAUAGGGGGACAUCGAGUGGCAUCCACCUUGGGUGCCUGUCCCACCGUCUAAAAAACGGUGGUUAGCAAGGGCCGGGCAAGACCGGUGCCAGCCGCCGCGGUAAUACCGGCGGCUCGAGUGGUGGCCGAUAUUAUUGAGUCUAAAGGGUCCGUAGCCGGCUUUGCAAGUCCCCUGGGAAAUCCAGCGGCUUAACCGUUGGGCUUUCAUGGGAUACUACAUUGCUUGGGACUGGGAGAGGUAGGAGGUACUCGGGGGGUAGGGGUGAAAUCCUGUAAUCCUCCGGGGACCACCGGUGGCGAAGGCGUCCUACCAGAACAGGUCCGACGGUGAGGGACGAAAGCUAGGGGCACGAACCGGAUUAGAUACCCGGGUAGUCCUAGCCGUAAACGAUGCCCGCUAGGUGUCACGACGGUCGUGAAUCGUCGUGGUGCCGUAGGGAAGCCGCGAAGCGGGCCACUUGGGAAGUACACCGC